UUAUUGGAGAGUUUGAUCCUGGCUCAGGACGAACGCUGGCGGCGUGCCUAAUACAUGCAAGUCGAGCGGAGUCGAUAGGAAGCUUGCUUCUUUGAGACUUAGCGGCGGACGGGUGAGUAACACGUAGGCAACCUGCCCUUUAGCCUGGGAUAACUACCGGAAACGGUAGCUAA
Molecule: ribosomal RNA, 173 nt
Filed under: Paenibacillus hunanensis
Lineage: Bacteria; Bacillati; Bacillota; Bacilli; Caryophanales; Paenibacillaceae
Description: partial 16S ribosomal RNA
Rfam family: Bacterial small subunit ribosomal RNA
Source: RNAcentral